Molecule: long non-coding RNA, 2840 nt
Organism: Globicephala melas (long-finned pilot whale)
Lineage: Eukaryota; Metazoa; Chordata; Mammalia; Artiodactyla; Delphinidae
Source: RefSeq, a predicted model, not a curated record
AGGAGAAGGGAAAUGGCCGCACGGCUCAGCAGUUCCUCGAGGGGACGCUGCUGAGCCGCCUCUACCCCCAUCCGCAGCCCGCCCUCCGCAGCCAGCUCAGCCGCUGGCCCAGGAGGCUGAUGGAGGCACGGCGGUGGCCUCACCCGGACACUGUACUUGGCUGGCCUGUGACGACGGAAAGGACUAAUUCUCAGGAUUGAAAGGGACCUUCCAGGUCAUCUGUUCAAACCUCUCACCCUGUCAUGGAAGAAACAGGGCUGGGUUUUAUUGUUUGUUUUUUUCUGAGUACAUACUAUGUACAAGGCCCCAAACAAAUAUAGACACAGCAUUCUCACCACCUGCAGUGAAAACUAGUGGCAGAGGCAAAGAAAGGAAGAGUUGCAGUACAGUGUCAAGAUAGAGCCUGUGGGAUCUUAGUUCCCGGACCAAGGAUUGAACCCAUGGCCCCUGCAGUGGAAGCACGGACUCUUAACCAGUGGACUGCCAGGGAAGUCCCCAGUUUGCCUACUUUCAGUCUUACUUCCCUCCAAACCAUAUUUCACACUGUCACCAGGUCAGUCCUUCUAAAAGGCAAAUCCCAUUCAUUCAUUUGUUCAUGAAGUAUGAAUGGAGCAGCAACUCUGUGCCAGGCAGGCAAUGAUCACAUUUCUGUACUUGAAACCUUCAAUGGCUCAUGAUUACCCACAGAAUCAAGUUUAAAUUCUCAUAUAUGGCAUGCAAGUCCUCCAUGAACUGGCCUUUCUCCUCCCUCUAAAGCUUCAUUCCUCCCUUCACCUUUGCUUGAAAUAGUUUAUUAUUUAAAUAUCUAUUUCUUGUCUGUUAAUAAAUACAUCAAAGCACUUCAGUUUGGCUCUGAGUUUACCAUUGCAUUUUGUGUGAUAUGCCAAAGUUAUGGAAAUUACUGGAUAAGCAUACAGACUUAGUAGUUAGAUCUAAGUUCAAAUCCCGUGCUUGUUAUUACCUGUGUGACCUUGCUAAAUGACAAUCUCUCUGUCCCAGAGUUUUCCCCUCUGUGAAAUGGGAACAGUGAUAGUUGAUUCUUAGGAUUGUUAUGAAGAUUAAAUUAGAGAGUAUAUAAAAAGUUCCUGGCACAGAGUAAAAGCUCAAUAAAUAAUAGCUAUCUUUUUUUUUUGGCCAUGCCAUGUGGCGUGUGGGAUCUAGUUCCCUGACCAGGGAUGGAACCUGUGCCUCCUGCAUUGGGAGCACAGAGUCUUAACCACUAAACUGCCAGGGAAGUCCCAACAGUGGUUAUCAUUAUCCUUACAUUAUUCAUAACACUUAUUAUUAGCUUCUAAAUAAUUAUAGAUGUAGUAUGGAUUGUAUCCAAACAAAAAAGUCAUAUUUGCAUCACAGCCCUGUCUUUUAUUUUGUCAUUUCCUCUCCCGAUUAAAUAACAUAUGAAUUAUAUACCAGCAUUGCUCCUCUCUUCCUAUUGAACUUUUAACAUUUCUUAAUUAUUAGUGGUGUUUUAGCAUAAACACUAUGGUAGGUGAUGAAAAAUUAAAGCAACACACACUUAGGUUGGAAUUGUUCUUUAAUGUUUUCAGAACAUCUUUAUAUAACUGUAUUUGAUUAUAUGAUUCAUGAAUUGAAGAAGUAGACAGAGCAAGUAUUAUCAUGAUCAUGGUUCCCAAUUUACAAAUGAGAGAAAUUAAGUUCAGAAAGCCCAUGUCACAAUGUUACAACAGUUAAUAAGAUGUGGAAAUGAACACCUGGUCUUCCAAUUCAUUGUCUUGCACUUUUCCCAUUAUAUCAGACUAUCCCUCAGACUCAGUCAACAUAUCACAUCAUUCCAGCCCCAAAUAUCUUCCUUGGAUCUUCUAGACUAUGUGAACUCAUAUUAUUUAUUUGUGACAUAUCAUAUAGCCCUCUGGUUGUUAAUCUUUUUUUAUGUGUACAUAUUUUUUCCUCAAUAGAUGGUAAGCUAUACUUGAGGACAAGGCUAAGUCUUAUGCUUCUUUCUGUCCCCUAUAAUACUAGCAUAGUACAUUGAGCAUGACGAAUGGAUGGAGGGAGGGAGAGAAAGAGAGAGAGGGAGAUUUAAAAAUGUAAAAAGAUUAGUUUUGCACAAAUAAGUUAUAUACAAAUUUGGCACCACAGAAAACAGCAGCUACCUGUUAGAAGUGUCAUUUGCCAAUAGGAGGGACAGUUAUGUGUGUAGAUGGGAGCAAUGUAAAAUUUGGGAACAUAUGUAUGAAAGCAAUGAUCAUGGUUUAUUGAUAUUGCACACUAGUAAAGCUGAAAGUAGCACCAAUAAAUAGCAGCAGCAGCAGUCAGAGACCACGAUAAUUCCCUGGUGAAUAAGAGUUAGAUCCAUAGUUAUCACUUGAAGAAAAAAAUAUUCCUAAGAGAAAGCAGUCUUGCUUUUGUAAUUAUAAUGGACAAAUAAUCCAGCUACAAUAGGAACAAUCACCUAGUAGGUUUAGCAUGAGGAAUAGACGUAAUUCUGAACUCAUAAGUAAAAUAUAUUUCUAGAAAUAAGGUUAUACUAUAAACACCACAUCUAAAGACAGUGUACUCAUCAGCAAUUAAAUAGCACUGUGAUAGGCAUUGGAAAUGGUACAAAAAGGAUAAGACAUCGUUCCUGUUUCAACAAGUUUACACUUUGGGGAAAUAAAGUAUAAACACACACAAGUUAUAAAAGUAUAACAGUUCUUUGCAGCAAUAUAAGAAAAAAUUAUAAUCUGAAUAUCUCCUAGCUUUCCUGUAAAUCAAGAUUUUAAUAAAGUAUGUGAAGAAAACUACAUGUAUAAUUUUUUCCUUCAAACCAUUUUCAUUCACUUAGAGUCUAUUAUCACCUCAGAGCAGUUUGCCUUUUAAAACAGUACACAUGCCAUGCA